This 548-nucleotide ribosomal RNA is filed under the name uncultured Glomeromycotina. RNAcentral describes it as "SSU rRNA". It matches the Rfam family "Eukaryotic small subunit ribosomal RNA", at positions 548 to 1097 of the family's 1831-position model. Lineage: Eukaryota; Fungi; Glomeromycota. The record is from RNAcentral.
UUGGAGGGCAAGUCUGGUGCCAGCAGCCGCGGUAAUUCCAGCUCCAAUAGCGUAUAUUAAAGUUGUUGCAGUUAAAAAGCUCGUGGUUGAAUUUCGGGGUUAGUAGGUUGGUCGUGCCUCAGGUAUGUACUGAUCUCACUGAUUCCUCCUUCCUGAUGAACCGUAAUGCCAUUAAUUUGGUGUUGCGGGGAAACUGGACUGUUACUUUGAAAAAAUUAGAGUGUUUAAAGCAGGCUAACGCUUGAAUACAUUAGCAUGGAAUAAUGAAAUAGGACGUUCGAUCCUAUUUUGUUGGUUUCUAGGAUUGACGUAAUGAUUAAUAGGGAUAGUUGGGGGCAUUAGUAUUCAAUUGUCAGAGGUGAAAUUCUUGGAUUUAUUGAAGACUAACUACUGCGAAAGCAUUUGCCAAGGAUGUUUUCAUUAAUCAAGAACGAAAGUUAGGGGAUCGAAGACGAUCAGAUACCGUCGUAGUCUUAACCAUAAACUAUGCCGACUAGGGAUCGGAUGAUGUUAAUUUUUUAAUGACUCAUUCGGCGCCUUACGGGAAA